RNAcentral lists this ribosomal RNA (113 nucleotides) under Acinetobacter sp. 8I-beige. The record is from RNAcentral. Lineage: Bacteria; Pseudomonadati; Pseudomonadota; Gammaproteobacteria; Moraxellales; Moraxellaceae.
CGAAGUUUAUUUGAGAAAUAUUUGUCAGAAAAUUUCCCGAACUCAGAAGUGAAACCUCUUAGCGCUGAUGGUAGUGUGGAGUUAUCCAUGUGAGAGUAAGUCAUCGCCAGCUC